Drosophila suzukii is the source of this 2360-nucleotide non-coding RNA. NCBI's taxonomy places the organism in Eukaryota, Metazoa, Arthropoda, Insecta, Diptera, Drosophilidae. The record is from RefSeq and is a predicted model, not a curated record.
UUAACCCAUUAUACGAUAUGUUGGGUUGAAUCUUCCGCACUACUAUCGAUUGUGAACUCUCUAAUCAUAGUCCUAACCUUUCCACUGUUUCUAGGCAACCUUCCCCAAGCAAGCUUACUGAUGCCCCCUAAUCCAAGAGACCCACGACCUCCAGGUCUUCUAUCUUGACUUGUGCGAAUGGUCUAUUGUCGCCUUCCACCGCAGCUCUGAUGGCCGAACAAAUCAUCCUUCUUUCUGCCUUCCGCUGCUGACUUCUCCUACGGGUUCUGGCAAAUAUUCCGGUCUGGAUGAUGUUUCCCAAAUAUUCGGUAUGCUAUAGGUUCACGUUUCGACCAUUUAAUGGCAUGCAAUGUGUCGAGGCUUUCACUUGUUCGUGGCAAACGGAUUGGAGCGUGGUUCCUCGUUCUUGCCCAAGCUCCUCCCACCGUUUCCCGUUUGGCAUCGAGUACAUCCUGGAGUCCUCACACCGGGAGGUCCAAACUUGAAGUAGAAUACCGAUUCACACGCGUUGAAUGGAUGUCCCACGGUUCCACAAUUCCAGCAUGUAAACUCUCUUCUCCGACUGAUUCCGGACAAAGCUCAUCUAUCCUCGGACGAUCCUUAUAUCCCCGGUCGAAGUCGAAAAACGGCAUCUCUAGUCGAGAUCGGAGCGCUAGCAUAGUCUGUAUGUGCACCUAGAUGGGUUCUCCUGGCUUCUGCUUCCGUUCUCGCAGCUCAUACUCUCGCUCGAAGUUGGAUCGGUGACUCCGAAACUGUUGUUGUAGUGCGAACUCAGGACCUCCUUACACGGCACCUUAUACGACCUUUAAAUAUGUUCGAGGCGGAAUAUAAAUUCGGACACGGAACUUAGCCCCCACUUCCGCAGCUGGCCGACUUUAAACGCUAUAUCGCCUGCUGCCCCGCUUGACCGACGCUGGAUUGAAGUUGUGCUGUGUCCCACCGUUUCCAGGACCAUGUUCUGGCGGCGUCGUGUGAGACCCAUUCCACCUUCUUGGUUCCUGCUCCGUCGACCAGGCGGUUUGCCGAUACCCUUUUGAUGCGUGACGAUUCAUCUCCUGCUUCUCGGACAGCGCCCCAGAUGUUGGCGGCGGGAAUUCCAAACGGUGACGUACUCCCGGCAGUAUGAUUGGCGGAGGCUGCUGGAGCAUCCUCGGAUCGAAUGGUGGCAUCUGAUUCGGAUUUGCCCUCGGCUGCUCUGCAAUGACUUGAGGUGGCUGCAUAUGCGUCCCCGAAGAGGGUAUUUGGCCCUGUCCAACUUGUUUUAUUUGAGCCUGCCAGGCUGCGUUUUCCGGAGUCAUACUUGCUGGUCCCCUAUUCCGAAUGAACUCCAAACUUCUCCUCAAUUUUCUUCCGAUUUGAACUCUAUCCCUAUCACUAUUUGGCAUGUCCUAAUUCUUUUCUUAUUUAUAUUUGUUUUUUCCUCUCUCUUCAACUUUUUUUAAUAUGGGGGGAUGAGACGUAUCUAUUUAUAUUAUCCACUAACUUUUCUCUCCUUUCCUUCAGUUCCUAAUCCGUUCGUGUCACUUUUUUAUAAUUAUUUAAACGAUUUUACUAACUUAAUUUACUCUUCAUCUUUCACCCUCUACUUGAAAUUUGCUGGGUAUCGAAGUCACACUUUAUGCACAGUGUACAUGGACCACACCAACUCCAAGCACAGACAACAAAUUUAGAUAAGUUAUUAAAAAUUUUCUUUACCACAGACAACAUAUUAAAAAGAUAAUUGUUUUCUUUUUAUUUUAGCUACUUCUGAGCUUCCUAGCCUGGCUUCGCAUGUCCCGUAUUUACUCGGUCAUGGGUCCACUUCUAGUCGGUCUUCACUUUCUCAGCAAGGAUUGUGCUCAGCAGAAAGGACCUUUCGGAAUUUUACUCACUGUGGCUACGAUGAGUUCGACCUUUUUCGUCUGCCCACGGUCCAAACAGCUAGUUUCCGAUGUCGUUUUCUAUUGCCACUUUCCCUGUGUAGAUGCCGGCUAGUCAUCGAAUGUCCCAGGGAGGGGAGCAACCAAAAAUAUUGUCCACGUAGCAGACACAACAAAAUCAAAACGGAAAUUCAAAUUUGGACAACAGCAAUCUUCACGACGGAUUUUCGAACAUCUGGACUGGACACACAGCUCUAAUCGCGGUCCUGGAAUCCCACCCAACCAUGACUGCAUCCUUCAACAUUUUUUUGGACAAAUCUGCCAAUUCUGCUUUGUGGGUCGUACUACCUCGCCUAAGCCAUCUAACCCCCCAACACGAAUUUCUACUCACACGAAUUCAUUUCGCUAUCACCUUAUAUUUCACAACUUUCUCUUAAAUUCUAACAUUUAAUAAGCCUACCUAUGGUACCGAACUUUCACAUGGAAAACAUUUAUAUGUAU